CCUACGGGAGGCAGCAGUGGGGAAUAUUGGGCAAUGGGCGCAAGCCUGACCCAGCAACGCCGCGUGAAGGAAGAAGGCUUUCGGGUUGUAAACUUCUUUUAAGAGGGAAGAGCAGAAGAAGGUAUCACUUGAAUAAGCUACGGCUAACUAAGUGCCAGCAGCCGCGGUAAUACGUUGGCGGCAAGCGUUGUCCGGAUUUACUGGGUGUAAAGGGCGGGCAGUCGGGAAUACAAGUCAGAUGUGAAAUCCCGCGGCUCAACCGCGGAACUGCAUUUGAAACUGUUUUUCUUGAGUACCGGAGAGGUCAUCGGAAUUCCUUGUGUAGCGGUGAAAUGCGUAGAUAUAAGGAAGAACACCAGUGGCGAAGGCGAAUGUCUGGACGGCAACUGACGGUGAGGCGCGAAAGCGUGGGGAGCAAACAGGAUUAGAUACCCGUGUAGUC
This 442-nucleotide ribosomal RNA is filed under the name uncultured bacterium. Its description in RNAcentral is "partial 16S ribosomal RNA". It matches the Rfam family "Bacterial small subunit ribosomal RNA", at positions 338 to 795 of the family's 1533-position model. The record is from RNAcentral.